Molecule: non-coding RNA, 249 nt
Organism: Camellia sinensis
Lineage: Eukaryota; Viridiplantae; Streptophyta; Magnoliopsida; Ericales; Theaceae
Source: RefSeq, a predicted model, not a curated record
AAUCACAGUAGUGGGUCGUGAUCUUUUCCGGCGGCGAUGAGCAUUGCGGUGAAGGAAAACGGUGGCUUGUUGCCAGAUAUUUGCAAUUUCUACAAGGACACUCAUCAGAACAAGAAGACAAAAGAAUGGAUUGAUCCUAUAUGCUGUGAUUUACAUGAGCAAAUGACAAUGGUGCGGGAUGAGUCUAUUGAGUCUGGAACGUCGAUGACACAAGAGGAUAUAUCAAGAGUGGUGCUGGGAAAAAAGAAG